UACAGAGGGGGCAAGCGUUAUUCGGAAUUAUUGGGCGUAAAGGGCGCGUAGGCGGCCUGGCAAGUGGAAGGUGAAAUCCCUCGGCUUAACCGAGGAACUGCCCUCCAAACUGCUUGGCUUGAGUCCGGGAGAGGUGAGUGGAAUUCCCAGUGUAGCGGUGAAAUGCGUAGAUAUUGGGAGGAACACCAGUGGCGAAGGCGGGUCUCUGGGCCGAUACUGACGCUGAGGAGCGAAAGCGUGGGGAGCGAACAGG
This 253-nucleotide ribosomal RNA is filed under the name uncultured bacterium. Its description in RNAcentral is "partial 16S ribosomal RNA". It matches the Rfam family "Bacterial small subunit ribosomal RNA", at positions 524 to 776 of the family's 1533-position model. The record is from RNAcentral.